This 253-nucleotide ribosomal RNA is filed under the name uncultured bacterium. RNAcentral's name for it is "partial 16S ribosomal RNA". It matches the Rfam family "Bacterial small subunit ribosomal RNA", at positions 524 to 776 of the family's 1533-position model. The record is from RNAcentral.
GACAGAGGGUGCAAACGUUGCUCGGAAUCACUGGGCGUAAAGCGCACGUAGGCGGCUUUCUAAGUCAGGGGUGAAAUCCUGGAGCUCAACUCCAGAACUGCCUUUGAUACUGGAGAGCUUGAGUCCGGAAGAGGUGAGUGGAACUCCGAGUGUAGAGGUGAAAUUCGUAGAUAUUCGGAAGAACACCAGUGGCGAAGGCGGCUCACUGGUCCGGUACUGACGCUGAGGUGCGAAAGCGUGGGGAGCAAACAGG